CGGAGUUGGUCCCCCUGGGAAACCUAAAGUUUUUCGGUUGCGGGGGGAGUAUGGUCGCAAGGCUGAAACUAAAUUACCCAAUCUAGACAGUAGGAGGUGGUGAAGAGAAUUACUAAAUGGUGGUCCAAUGGAUCACUUGUUUGGAAUGAACGUAACUUAAGAAAUUCGUUGAUAAACAACUGGAGGGCAAGUCCUGGUGCCAGCAGCCGCGGUAAUUCCAGCUCCAGUAGUUUGCUUUAAAGUUGUUGCGUUUAAAACGCUCGUAGUUGGAUCACGCAGCAGUGUUCAGUUAUCUUUUGCUGCUCGCUUUCAUUUGGGUCCGUCACCGACGGCUCGAUUGCUUGCAGCGGCACUAGAUGCUAUGCUGAAUGCUGUUAGUUGCACGUGAGAUAGAUUGUUGGCCUUAAAUGAGCCGAUAUUCUUGUCUUGCGGGGUGUGCCUUGAAUAAAACAGAGUGCUUAAAGCAGGUUAUUGCCUGAAUGUUAUAGCAUGGAACGAACAAUCGUGUAUAUGUACGUGUUAUCGGAAGGCUACGAGCUUUUGGUUUGUAGCUUUCUGUGAUGCGUACGGCACCCACCAAAAUAUGGCUGUUGGUUCCAUAUACGGUGAUGAUUAACAGGAGCGGUUGGGGGCAUCGGUAUUUGGCCGCGAGAGGUGAAAUUCUUAGACCGGCCAAGGACUAACAAAUGCAAAGGCACUUGUCUAGACCGUUUCCAUUAAUCAAGAACGAAAGUGGGAGGUUCGAAGACGAUCAGAUACCGUCAUAGUUCCCACCGUAAACUAUGCCGACCUGGGAUCAGUAGCUCCAGUAGAGUGAUCUGUCAAGCCUAUCCUGCGCUUAACGAACGAGACUACGUAGUUGGAUCACAAACUAUGGUCGCAAGGCUGAAACUUAAAGGAAUUGACGGAAGGGCACCACCAGGGGUGGAGCCUGCGGCUUAAUUUGACUCAACACGGGGAAACUUACCUGGUCCGGACAUCGAAAGGAUUAACAGAUCAAUAGCUCUUUUAUGAUACGAUGAGUGGUGGUGCAUGGCCGUUCUUAGUUCGUGGAGUGAUCUGUCAGCUUAAUUGCGGUAACGAACGAGACCACAGUCUCCAUUUAAAAGAUGGAAGAAGGGGCUUGGAAGGUUGACUCCGGUCACCGGCUGAGUUCUGCAGGAAGGACCGUGUUCUUUUCGAUCAGUGCUGAUGGGUAACUUGAGGUAUUGGUUGUUGGGAGCGUGGUUUCUCCCUUCCAUUACGCAGCAGUUGGCCUCGGCUAGCUGCUGCCUUAUGGAGAGACAACGAGGUAUAAACAAGCUCGAGGAAGAGUGGCUAUAAGCAGGUCAAGUUUCUAAAUCGAAAGAUUUGGGUAAUCUUGCAAUUGUCAUCGUGAUGGGGAUCGACGUUUGUAAAUACAAAUACGUCGUGAAAGAGGAAUCCCUAGUACGUGCGAUUCAUGCAGAUCGCGCGGAUUGCGUCCCUGCCCUUUGUACACACCGCCCGUCGCUACUACCGAGUGAAUGGUGUCAUAAUACCUUGGGAGCGGACGUCGCCUGGGCCUUGUGCUUGGUGUGACGCUGCGAUCAGCGUAGAAUGGCGCAAU
This 1588-nucleotide ribosomal RNA is filed under the name Myxobolus sp. jg AC-2020. Its description in RNAcentral is "SSU rRNA". It matches the Rfam family "Eukaryotic small subunit ribosomal RNA". Lineage: Eukaryota; Metazoa; Cnidaria; Myxozoa; Bivalvulida; Myxobolidae. The record is from RNAcentral.